UACGUAGGGUGCGAGCGUUGUCCGGAAUUAUUGGGCGUAAAGGGCUCGUAGGCGGUUUGUCGCGUCGGGAGUGAAAACGCCGGGCUUAACUCGGUGCUUGCUUUCGAUACGGGCAGACUAGAGGCAUGCAGGGGAGAACGGAAUUCCUGGUGUAGCGGUGAAAUGCGCAGAUAUCAGGAGGAACACCGGUGGCGAAGGCGGUUCUCUGGGCAUGUCCUGACGCUGAGGAGCGAAAGCUAGGGGAGCAAACGGG
This 253-nucleotide ribosomal RNA is filed under the name uncultured bacterium. RNAcentral describes it as "partial 16S ribosomal RNA". It matches the Rfam family "Bacterial small subunit ribosomal RNA", at positions 524 to 776 of the family's 1533-position model. The record is from RNAcentral.